Molecule: unclassified non-coding RNA, 223 nt
Filed under: Hevea brasiliensis (rubber tree)
Lineage: Eukaryota; Viridiplantae; Streptophyta; Magnoliopsida; Malpighiales; Euphorbiaceae
Source: RNAcentral
GCAAUUGUCUGUACCCAGCCUCGCAAAAUAGCCACAAUAUCAUUAGCCCAACGGGUAGCCGAGGAAAGCACCGGUUGCUAUAAAGAUAUCAGCGUGGUUUCUCAUCCCACGUACUCAUCCCAUCAACAUUUCAACUCAAAUGUAGUUUACAUGACAGAUCAUUGCCUCCUACAACACUGCACCAACAAUACGGGCUUGGCGGAAAUUUCAUGUAUUAUUGUUG